CCAUCUUGAUCAUGACCAAGUCCAAUACUCAACAAACUCUGUUUCCUUCAACUGCAGCUAAACUAUCCAUUUCAUCAGAAAACUUCAUUCAUAUCAGUCAUGUCACUUCCUAAUAGCUAACUGUAGUAUGAGUUCCUGAGAGAGGAACUUGUGAAUCUCCAAAAGAUCAAUUGGCUUGCUUCAACAGUAGUGCCGAAAUUAUCACUUGAUCAUUCAUCUGCAUGACCAUUUAUGUGACACUGACUAAGUGUUUUUUCUUCAUAUCAGGAUAGGCAAAAAUCAAGUUUCAAGAUAAGUAAUAAACAAAGAAAAAUAUGAAACCACAACAACAUCAUACCCUAAGGAAUUUCUUCAUAUCUGCAUGACCAUUCAUCUGCAUGACCAUUUAUGAGACCCGACCACCGUUCGACGCCGCACUCCUCCCCGAUUGGCCAAAAUCUUCCCCUAUUGUCGUAGAUCUGAAGAAAAUCCCUCGUCUCCGGUGACCCCUCGGAUACCCGACGAUCCACAUGCAAGCUAAGUUGCUCCUCUCUUUUCCUUCUUGCCUCUUGUUCAAAAUCCCCUCUCCUUAGUAGGUUUUUUUUAUAUUUUUUUCAGUUCGAAAUUAGCAUUUAGGUAAAGAAAUAAAAAGAUUAAGAUGCUUUUGAUUUUUGCUUUCUUGCUUUUUAUUAUUUUUUUCGAAAAACCGAGAGAGGAAAAACUCCUCUUUUACAUGCUUUCUUCGGGGUUCUUUUAUAAGCCCCGAAGUAUUACAAAUAUUUCAUAUUUUUUGCUAUGAAAUCAUUACAAUAAUCUGACAUUUGCGUGUGAACUUGGAUUGAUUGUUGCUUGCUAUGUUCUGAAUUUUUGUAGAUGCAAAUGGGGCGGUUGACAGCAGCAUAGGCAGGCGGUGACAAGGAGCAGAGGCGCAUGCGGCGGCCACAACAACAUCAUACCCCUAAGAUAAAUAGAAAGUUGGAUAUUGGAGCUCUGGUUGCAUGGUAUAUUGAUUGAAUCAGUUAAAGGGGAGGAACCCAUUGUUUGGUCUGGGUGCUGUUCUUGUGAUUUAUGGCAUUGGAAUUUGCAAACAGUUUCUGAAAUGGAUUUUUCUGGAAUUGGAAAACCAGAAUGUGCUUGGGAGGUCUCAACACAUAUUCCUAAUGGAAAGGUAAUAGUUUACUCUAGCAUUUCCAUUAAUGUAUGUAGUUCAGAGGUUUUCAGUUGAACUAAAAGCGAACCAUUGGUAGAAUGAUUUUGAUUAUGCUUUCAUGAGAAAUAAUGCACAUUUUGUGCAAGGCUUAGCUAAACGUAAAACCUAUUUCGUUCUGACCCUUGGAGGCAGUCCAGUUAAGCAUUAUGACCCUCCCAGUUAUCGGGCUGUUGGUAAGCUGUACACCUUCAGUUGCAUACUUAUAGCUGUAAAGACUAGUUACUCUGAGUUAUAGUAGCAAUGUCAAUAGGUUAAGUGUUGUAAAAAGUGAAUGCCAACUCAGAAGCCUUCCUAAUUGAGUUCCUCUAAGACUGGUUUGGAAAUAUAGUAGCAAUGUCAUGACAGAGAUUAAGUGUUGUAAGAAGUGAAUGGCAAAUCGGAAGCCUUCCUUAUUCAAUUGCUCCUUGUUCAUACCAUGUCUGAAUAUAUCUUGAUUAUUUAAAGUAGAUGUCCGGCUUGAUUACGAAAAAUGAAGAAUUCGGAUGCUUUGGAUGACAUAUUUCUUAUAAUUUUUUUCUCUCUUGCUUCAAAACCAGGAAUCAAUUUUGUUUACACUGCAAAAGUUUUGUAAGCUUUUGUUAUGAUGUUUCUGUUGGGAGGUGUUUUCAUGUUUCAUCCGGCAAAGACCAUUCAAAAAGGUUACCGAGUAAGAUUGCCCACAUCUACUCUUCUAUGACCGUGGUCUGGCAACAAAACCCCAAUUAUGGCUCUUCUUAGACUGAUAUACCCCUGUGCUGAGGUCUAGUCCCCCCCCCC
Molecule: long non-coding RNA, 1945 nt
Organism: Hibiscus syriacus
Lineage: Eukaryota; Viridiplantae; Streptophyta; Magnoliopsida; Malvales; Malvaceae
Exons: 4
Source: RefSeq, a predicted model, not a curated record